This 423-nucleotide ribosomal RNA is filed under the name uncultured bacterium. Its description in RNAcentral is "partial 16S ribosomal RNA". It matches the Rfam family "Bacterial small subunit ribosomal RNA", at positions 359 to 773 of the family's 1533-position model. The record is from RNAcentral.
GAAUAUUGGACAAUGGGGGGCACCCUUAUCCAGCCAUGCCGCGUGUGUGAAGGAGGCCUUUUGGUUGUAAAGCACCUUAAGCGAGGAGGAGGCUGCUCUAGUCAAUAACUACCGAUAGUGGACGGUACUCGCAGAAUAAGCACCGGCGCACUCUGUUCCAGCAGCCGCGGUAAUACAGAGGGUGCAAGCGUUAAUCGGAUUUACUGGGCGUAAAGCGUGCGUAGGUGGCCUAUUAAGUCAGAUGUGAAAUCCCCGAGCUUAACUUGGGAAUUACAUUUGAUACUGGUAGGCUAGAGUAUGGGAGAGGGUGGUAGAAUUCCAGGUGUAGCGGUGAAAUGCGUAGAGAUCUGGAGGAACACCGAUGGCGAAGGCAGCCAUCUGGCCUAAUACUGACGCUGAGGUGCGAAAGCAUGGGGAGCAAAC